CGACCGGGUAGCCCGGCUGAGGAGGGGUGACGCCACACCUGACUGAGAUACGUUCAGACUUCUACGGAGGCAGCAGUGGGGAUAUGCACAAUGGGCGAAAGCCUGAUGCAGCACGCGCGUGAGGGAUGAAGGCCUUCGGGUGUAACCUCUUUUAGCAGGGAAGAAGCGAAAGUGACGGUACCUGCAGAAAAAGCACCGGGCUAACUACGUGCCAGCAGCCGCGGUAAUACGUAGGGUGCAAGCGUUGUCCGGAAUUAUUGGGCGUAAAGAGCUCGUAGGCGGUUUGUCGCGUCUGCUGUGAAAAUCCAAGGCUCAACCUUGGACCUGCAGUGGGUACGGGCAGACUAGAGUGCGGUAGGGGAGAUGGGAAUUCCUGGUGUAGCGGUGGAAUGCGCAGAUAUCAGGAGGAACACCAAUGGCGAAGGCACAUCUCUGGGCCGUAACUGACGCUGAGGAGCGAAAGCGUGGGGAGCGAACAGGAUUAGAUACCCUGGUAGUCCACGCCGUAAACGGUGGGUGCUAGUUGUGGGCCACAUUCCACGUGGUCCGUGACGAAGUUAACACAUUAAGCACCCCGCCUGGGGAGUACGGUCGCAAGACUAAAACUCAAAGGAAUUGACGGGGGCCCGCACAAGCGGCGGAGCAUGCGG
Molecule: ribosomal RNA, 650 nt
Filed under: uncultured bacterium
Lineage: Bacteria
Description: bacterial SSU rRNA
Rfam family: Bacterial small subunit ribosomal RNA
Source: RNAcentral